GAUGAACGCUAGCGGCAGGCCUAACACAUGCAAGUCGAGGGAGGAGCCUUCGGGCUUCGACCGGCGUACGGGUGCGUACCGCGUAUACAAUCUGCCUUUCACAUAGGGAUAGCCCGAAGAAAUUUGGAUUAAUACCUAAUGGUAUAUAGAUGUGGCAUCACCUUUAUAUUAAAGCUGAGGCGGUGAAAGAUGAGUAUGCGUUCUAUUAGCUAGUUGGAGAGGUAACGGCUCCCCAAGGCGACGAUAGAUAGGGGUUCUGAGAGGGAUAUCCCCCACACUGGUACUGGGAUACGGACCAGACUCCUACGGGAGGCAGCAGUGAGGAAUAUUGGACAAUGGUCGGAAGACUGAUCCAGCCAUGCCGCGUGCAGGAAGACGGCCUUAUGGGUUGUAAACUGCUUUUGCAGGGGAAGAAUAAGGACUACGCGUAGUUUGAUGACGGUACUCUGCGAAUAAGCAUCGGCUAACUCCGUG
RNAcentral lists this ribosomal RNA (474 nucleotides) under uncultured bacterium. RNAcentral's name for it is "partial 16S ribosomal RNA". It matches the Rfam family "Bacterial small subunit ribosomal RNA", at positions 28 to 507 of the family's 1533-position model. The record is from RNAcentral.